Molecule: ribosomal RNA, 518 nt
Filed under: Shigella sonnei
Lineage: Bacteria; Pseudomonadati; Pseudomonadota; Gammaproteobacteria; Enterobacterales; Enterobacteriaceae
Description: bacterial SSU rRNA
Rfam family: Bacterial small subunit ribosomal RNA
Source: RNAcentral
AAAUUGAAGAGUUUGAUCAUGGCUCAGAUUGAACGCUGGCGGCAGGCCUAACACAUGCAAGUCGAACGGUAACAGGAAACAGCUUGCUGUUUCGCUGACGAGUGGCGGACGGGUGAGUAAUGUCUGGGAAACUGCCUGAUGGAGGGGGAUAACUACUGGAAACGGUAGCUAAUACCGCAUAAUGUCGCAAGACUAAAGAGGGGGACCUUCGGGCCUCUUGCCAUCGGAUGUGCCCAGAUGGGAUUAGCUAGUAGGUGGGGUAACGGCUCACCUAGGCGACGAUCCCUAGCUGGUCUGAGAGGAUGACCAGCCACACUGGAACUGAGACACGGUCCAGACUCCUACGGGAGGCAGCAGUGGGGAAUAUUGCACAAUGGGCGCAAGCCUGAUGCAGCCAUGCCGCGUGUAUGAAGAAGGCCUUCGGGUUGUAAAGUACUUUCAGCGGGGAGGAAGGGAGUAAAGUUAAUACCUUUACUCAUUGACGUUACCCGCAGAAGAAGCACCGGCUAACUCCGUGC